GAGGCGAAGCCAACGCGUUAAGUGAAGCGCCUGGGUAGUACGGCCGCAAGGCUAAAACUCAAAGGAAUAGACGGGGACUUGCACAAGCAGUGGAUUAUGCGGUUUAAUUCGAUGAUAAACGAAAAACCUUACCAAGGUUAGAAAUCCCAACGACGAUAUGUAGAAAUAUAUAUCUUCCGCAAGGACGGUGGGACAGGUGUUGCAUGGCCGUCGUCAGUUCGUGGUUUGAGCUGUUCCCUUAAGUGGGGUAACGAACGCAACCCUCGUUGCCAGUUAUAAGUGUCUGGCGAGACUGCUCCGGUCUGAGCGCACAAGUGAAAGCUUGUGAAUUCAGACCGGAGAGGAAGGCGAGGAUGACGCCAGGUCAGCAUGACCCUUGAUACCUUGGGCUACACGCAUAAUACAAUGGCUACUACAACAGGUCGCGACGGGGUAACCCCGAGCUAAUCCUUAGAAAAGUAGCCUCAGUUCGGAUUGGGGGCUGAAACUCGACCCCAUGAAGUUGGAAUU
This 510-nucleotide ribosomal RNA is filed under the name uncultured bacterium. RNAcentral's name for it is "bacterial SSU rRNA". It matches the Rfam family "Bacterial small subunit ribosomal RNA", at positions 843 to 1333 of the family's 1533-position model. The record is from RNAcentral.